GUUUGAUCCUGGCUCAGAAUCAACGCUGGCGGCGUGCCUAACACAUGCAAGUCGAACGCGAAAGUCCCGCAAGGGAUGAGUAGAGUGGCAAACGGGUGAGUAACACGUGGGUGACCUGCCUUCGAGCGGGGGAUAACGUCCCGAAAGGGACGCUAAUACCGCAUGACAUCCUGCCUUUGAACAGGCGGUGAUCAAAGCUGGGGAUCGCAAGACCUGGCACUUGAAGAGGGGCCCGCGCCUGAUUAGCUAGUUGGUGAGGUAAUGGCUCACCAAGGCGACGAUCAGUAUCCGGCCUGAGAGGGCGGACGGACACACUGGGACUGAGACACGGCCCAGACUCCUACGGGAGGCAGCAGUGGGGAAUUGUUCGCAAUGGGCGCAAGCCUGACGACGCAACGCCGCGUGGAGGAUGGAGACCUUCGGGUCGUAAA
This 431-nucleotide ribosomal RNA is filed under the name uncultured bacterium. Its description in RNAcentral is "bacterial SSU rRNA". It matches the Rfam family "Bacterial small subunit ribosomal RNA", at positions 11 to 429 of the family's 1533-position model. The record is from RNAcentral.